Molecule: ribosomal RNA, 301 nt
Filed under: uncultured bacterium
Lineage: Bacteria
Description: partial 16S ribosomal RNA
Rfam family: Bacterial small subunit ribosomal RNA
Source: RNAcentral
CAGUAGCCACGGGAAUACAGAGGGUGCGAGCGUUAAUCGGAUUUACUGGGCGUAAAGCGUGCGUAGGCGGCUAAUUAAGUCGGAUGUGAAAUCCCCGAGCUUAACUUGGGAAUUGCAUUCGAUACUGGUUAGCUAGAGUGUGGGAGAGGAUGGUAGAAUUCCAGGUGUAGCGGUGAAAUGCGUAGAGAUCUGGAGGAAUACCGAUGGCGAAGGCAGCCAUCUGGCCUAACACUGACGCUGAGGUACGAAAGCAUGGGGAGCAAACAGGAUUAGAUACCCCAGUAGUCCCUGUCUCUUAUAC